CGGAAAAAUUUUGGCUGAAAUUUUUUGGCGGGAAAAUCUUUUGUCGGAAUUUUUUGGCGGGAAAACUUUUGCCGAAAAUUUUUGGCGGGAAAUUUUUUGCCGAAACUUUUUAGCGGGGAAAUUUGGCGGGAAAUUUUUCGGAAGGAAUAUUCUUUUUGUUGGAAAGAAUAUUCCUUUUUUCAUCAUGGGUAUAAUAAAGGAGGGUAAUUUAGUCAUUUUGUACAUUGAAAAAGGUAUUUUUGAAAAUGAACACCUAG
RNAcentral lists this long non-coding RNA (257 nucleotides) under Capsella grandiflora. RNAcentral describes it as "long non-coding RNA (CGRA_LNC000898)". Lineage: Eukaryota; Viridiplantae; Streptophyta; Magnoliopsida; Brassicales; Brassicaceae. The record is from RNAcentral.